ACGAACGCUGGCGGCGUGCUUAACACAUGCAAGUCGAACGGAAAGGCCCCUUUGGGGGUACUCGAGUGGCGAACGGGUGAGUAACACGUGAGUAACCUGCCCUUGACUUCGGGAUAACUUCAGGAAACUGGGGCUAAUACCGGAUAGGAAUCCUUGCUGCAUGGUGGGGGUUGGAAAGCUUCGGCGGUUUUGGAUGGACUCGCGGCUUAUCAGCUUGUUGGGGGGGUAGUGGCUUACCAAGGCUUUGACGGGUAGCCGGCCUGAGAGGGCGACCGGCCACAUUGGGACUGGGAUACGGCCCAGACUCCUACGGGGGGCAGCGGUGGGGAAUAUUGCCCAAUGGGCGGAAGCCUGAUGCAGCAACCCCGCGUGCGGGAUGACGGCCUUCGGGUUGUAAACCGCUUUCAGCGGGGGCGAAGCUUGUGGUGACGGUACCGGCAAAAGAAGCCCCGGCAAACUACGG
RNAcentral lists this ribosomal RNA (463 nucleotides) under uncultured bacterium. Its description in RNAcentral is "partial 16S ribosomal RNA". It matches the Rfam family "Bacterial small subunit ribosomal RNA", at positions 29 to 506 of the family's 1533-position model. The record is from RNAcentral.